GACAGAGGUCUCGAGCGUUAGGCGGAAUCACUGGGCUUAAAGCGUGUGUAGGCGGACUUGUAAGUACCUUGUGAAAUCCCACGGCUUAACCGUGGAACUGCUGGGUAUACUGGUUGUCUUGAGCCACUUAGGGGCGAGCGGAACAAAUGGUGGAGCGGUGAAAUGCGUAGAUAUCAUUUGGAACGCCAAUGGUGAAGACAGCUCGCUGGGAGUGUGCUGACGCUGAGACACGAAAGCCAGGGUAGCGAACGGG
RNAcentral lists this ribosomal RNA (253 nucleotides) under uncultured bacterium. RNAcentral's name for it is "partial 16S ribosomal RNA". It matches the Rfam family "Bacterial small subunit ribosomal RNA", at positions 524 to 776 of the family's 1533-position model. The record is from RNAcentral.